RNAcentral lists this ribosomal RNA (413 nucleotides) under Rhina ancylostomus. RNAcentral describes it as "partial 12S ribosomal RNA". It matches the Rfam family "Bacterial small subunit ribosomal RNA", at positions 828 to 1410 of the family's 1533-position model. The record is from RNAcentral. Lineage: Eukaryota; Metazoa; Chordata; Chondrichthyes; Rhinopristiformes; Rhinidae.
GGUUCCUAACCCUGGCUAACCCAUACCAUUUCACCCGCCCGAGUACUACAAGCGCUAGCUUUAAACCCAAAGGACUUGACGGUGCCUCAAACCCCCCUAGAGGAGCCUGUUCUAUAACCGAUAAUCCUCGUUAAACCUCACCACUCCUUGCCAUUACACCGCCUAUAUACCGCCGUCGUCAGCUCACCCCAUGAGGGGAUAAAAGUAAGCAAAAUGAAUUUAAACCUCCAACACGUCAGGUCGAGGUGUAGCGAAUGAAGUGGAAAGAAAUGGGCUACAUUUCCUUUUAAGAAAAUAAACGAACAGCACAAUGAAAAAUUGCUUAAAGGUGGAUUUAGCAGUAAGAAAACCUUAGAAUACUAUUCUGAAACUGGCUCUGAGGUGCGCACACACCGCCCAAACAACACUACAAG